Non-coding RNA from Podarcis lilfordi (Lilford's wall lizard), 73 nucleotides. Lineage: Eukaryota; Metazoa; Chordata; Lepidosauria; Squamata; Lacertidae. The record is from the annotation of a GenBank genome assembly.
UUUGUGUGGCUUUUUUUUCUAAAUGUACAUGUAUAAACUACACAUGUACAUUUAGAAAAAAAAGCCACACAAA